This 265-nucleotide ribosomal RNA is filed under the name uncultured Pelotomaculum sp. RNAcentral's name for it is "partial 16S ribosomal RNA". It matches the Rfam family "Bacterial small subunit ribosomal RNA", at positions 1119 to 1382 of the family's 1533-position model. Lineage: Bacteria; Bacillati; Bacillota; Clostridia; Eubacteriales; Desulfotomaculaceae. The record is from RNAcentral.
UAACGCGUGAAGGCGAGCACUCUAGGACGAACUGCCGUUGACAAAACGGAGGAAGGUGGGGAUGACGUCAAUCAUCAUGCCCCUUAUGUUCUGGGCUACACACGUGCUACAAUGGCCGGUACAGACGGAGGCGAAGCCGCGAGGCGGAGCAAAUCCGAAAAAGCCGGUCUCAGUUCGGAUUGCAGGCUGCAAUUCGCCUGCAUGAAGUCGGAAUCGCUAGUAAUCGCAGGUCAGCAUACUGCGGUGAAUACGGUUCCCGGGCCUU